CAGCUAGGAUAGUUUAACAAAACAUUAGGUAGUGACCCUAAUAAUAGAACUAACAAUUCUUCCCAGCC
RNAcentral lists this transfer RNA (68 nucleotides) under Agama robecchii. RNAcentral's name for it is "tRNA-His". The record is from RNAcentral. Lineage: Eukaryota; Metazoa; Chordata; Lepidosauria; Squamata; Agamidae.